RNAcentral lists this long non-coding RNA (223 nucleotides) under Vulpes vulpes (red fox). RNAcentral's name for it is "lncRNA (ENSVVUG00000015020.1)". Lineage: Eukaryota; Metazoa; Chordata; Mammalia; Carnivora; Canidae. The record is from RNAcentral.
GGAAAAGAAAGCAGGAAACACUGGAAAGAUAAAUGAGGUCUUUCCUAUGAAGGCAAUGGAUUCUAUAUCUUGUAAUCAGAUCCAAAUUAAUGUCUGAAAGGAAAGAGUGAGCCAUGGAGACAGAACUCCAGGAGUAUUUCAGGAUGCCUGCGGCACCAUCCGUACUGUGGUAACAAUAUGCAACACUGUUUAUGUCAUUCCUCUUCUCAGAACUCUUCAAAAG